GCUCAGCGACUGAUGCACGGACUGCUGCAGAGGCUGCGGGUUUUUCCAACUUCUAGAGACGGCUUUGCUCAUUACCAGGCAUCCUUCCCAUGUAGGCAUCGAGAAGAAGGCUGAGGGACCCUCGCACCAGAUUUCCAUCCCGGAGACCGAUACGAGUGCGUCCAUUCCUGUUGCCAGCUCCUGCGCCCUCCGGACUAACCUCAAAAACCAGCUGGUUUGUAAAUAUUUGAAUCACAUUAUGGGAUUGCUAGACAGACUUUCAAUCUUGCUUGGCCUGAAGAAGAAGGAGGUUCAUGUUUUGUGCCUUGGGCUAGAUAAUAGUGGCAAAACAACGAUCAUUAACAAACUUAAACCUUCAAAUGCUCAAUCUCAAAAUAUCCUUCCAACAAUAGGAUUCAGCAUAGAGAAAUUCAAAUCAUCCAGUUUGUCAUUUACAGUGUUUGACAUGUCAGGUCAAGGAAGAUACAGAAAUCUCUGGGAACACUAUUAUAAAGAAGGCCAAGCUAUUAUUUUUGUCAUUGAUAGUAGUGAUAGAUUAAGAAUGGUUGUGGCCAAAGAAGAACUCGAUACUCUUCUGAAUCAUCCAGAUAUUAAACACCGUCGAAUUCCAAUCUUAUUCUUUGCAAAUAAAAUGGAUCUUAGAGAUGCAGUGACAUCUGUAAAAGUGUCUCAGUUGCUGUGUUUAGAGAACAUCAAAGAUAAACCCUGGCAUAUUUGAUGCUAAAACUGAAGACAGAAGAGUUCAAUGACCUAGCCAAGCUCCCUCAGCUAAUAAGAAAAUGAUUGAGAUCUACCGACUUUUUGUUUUAUUCUACCAGCUUACCAAACCCAUAAUUAUGGGUUUUUAUCCU
Molecule: small RNA, 851 nt
Filed under: Pongo abelii (Sumatran orangutan)
Lineage: Eukaryota; Metazoa; Chordata; Mammalia; Primates; Hominidae
Description: processed transcript
Source: RNAcentral